This 501-nucleotide ribosomal RNA is filed under the name uncultured bacterium. RNAcentral's name for it is "partial 16S ribosomal RNA". It matches the Rfam family "Bacterial small subunit ribosomal RNA", at positions 30 to 523 of the family's 1533-position model. The record is from RNAcentral.
AUUGAACGCUGGCGGCAGGCUUAACACAUGCAAGUCGAGCGGAGAUGAGGUGCUUGCACCUUAUCUUAGCGGCGGACGGGUGAGUAAUGCUUAGGAAUCUGCCUAUUAGUGGGGGACAACAUUCCGAAAGGAAUGCUAAUACCGCAUACGUCCUACGGGAGAAAGCAGGGGAUCUUCGGACCUUGCGCUAAUAGAUGAGCCUCAGUCGGAUUAGCUAGUUGGUGGGGUAAAGGCCUACCAAGGCGACGAUCUGUAGCGGGUCUGAGAGGAUGAUCCGCCACACUGGGACUGAGCCCCGGCCCGGACUCCUACGGGGGGCAGCAGUGGGGAAUAUUGGACAAUGGGGGAAACCCUGAUCCAGCCAUGCCGCGCGUGUGAAGAAGGCCUUAUGGUUGUAAAGCACUUUAAGCGAGGAGGAGGCUACUGAGACUAAUACUCUUGGAUAGUGGACGUUACUCGCAGAAUAAGCACCGGCUAACUCUGUGCCAGCCGCCGCCGUAA